UUUUUACUAAGAGUCCUACACCAUUUAUAUAAACCAUGACACCAUCACCUCUCUGAAGAUUUUUCACGGUAGUGAUUACUCUUAGAACAACAAUGACAAUGGCCGAAGGUAUGUUGCUAAUCUAUUUUCCGCUGUAAUGACUCAGUAUUUAUAUUUGAUCUUCAACAAGUAGUAUUAGGAAGAGGAACCUUGGAGUUACGGUAAAGUUAUCUUCGUGUGACCUAUAUAGGUCACGGAUUCGAACCGUGAAAGCAGUCACUCAUGCUAUAGUAGGAUAGGAUGUCUACAUCACAUGCCUGGGGUCAGAGGCGGACCCAGAUGGGGAAUACUAUUCUGCUCAACCAAUGCCCACUAAAAACUUUUAGUGUUCAGAGUGUCAAGUGCUUUAAAUUAACUAUUUUAUACAUAUACAUAUACAAAAAUUUUGCCGAAGCUUACAGGGUCCGGUGACCCCUCAUCGCAACAUGUAGGUCCGCCUCUGUCUGGGAUACGGCCUUUCCCCGUACUCUGUAUAAACAUGAAAUACUUUGUGCACUGGGCUCGAAAAAGUCUUCUUUCAGCUGUGCUGUGUUUGUUAUGUGGUCCGAUUCUAUUGAGGAAGAAUACACUAUAUUCACAAGAUAUGUCGUUUGUCCUGCUUGAAUUGAAGUAUAGUUUGGUAAUUUUGACCAAUGUCUGUCAAUUACAAAUCUAAAAUUGAUUCGUGAUUUGAAAAAUUCAACAAUCAAGAGAACUUUUGAGUGUAUGAUUUUGUGUACAGAAAGUUAGUUUUGGUGAGUUCUUGGCUUCUUGCUAUAGGGUGAUUGCCUACUUGACAAGAAUAAUAUAUAUAUAUAUAUAUAUAUAUAUAUAUAUAUAUAUAUAUAUUGCAAGCUUUAAUUCUCUAGAGAAAGAGAUCUGUCUCGACUUAUCAAUGAAUUCGACAUACUAUUUGAUAUGAGGUCAAGAUAUGUUGCCUUUUAAAUUUUGACUAUUUGUAAAAUCAGUUGGCCUCUGAGGAAAUAAUGUUUUACUUCUGAAGUAUUUUCCAGCAGAUCUUGUAUAAAGUUUUUAAAAUUAUGCUAUAUUAUUUUGAUUUAUUUGCUUAUCUAAUUCUUUAAUUUAGCAUCCGAUGAUAUUCAAAAGUCUCAUAGAUCAAAGCAUCGUAUACAUAAAUCAUCCGGCUCAUCUCACAAGGGCAUAACCCGCUCCGUUUCAUGUGACGCACAGUUGAAAGGAUCUGCUUCUACCCCUCGUGGGUCCAUGGCAUGAAUUGUUUUACGUAACUGAUUCCAACUCGCUUGAGAUUGAGGCGUAAUUAUUACUGUUGUUCUUUCUACAUAAGGUUGACCUAAGCAAACUCGAGAUGGGUUCACUGUGGAGAUAUUGUCGACAGUUUAAUCUUGUAAGCAAUGCUAUACCUAAUCCCUCGAGGGAGCAACUAAUUGAUGUUGUCCAGAGGCAUUUCUCAUCCUUGGUACUUUCUUUGUUAUCUUGCCGUUGCUUUGGUUCAAAUUAUGUAUUUAGAUUUAUGUCUAUGUCGUGCUAAUUCUAUGAUUGAUCUAUUUUAGUGUGAUG
Molecule: long non-coding RNA, 1557 nt
Filed under: Nicotiana tabacum (common tobacco)
Lineage: Eukaryota; Viridiplantae; Streptophyta; Magnoliopsida; Solanales; Solanaceae
Description: long non-coding RNA (NTAB_LNC010905)
Source: RNAcentral